This 402-nucleotide ribosomal RNA is filed under the name uncultured Lachnospiraceae bacterium. Its description in RNAcentral is "bacterial SSU rRNA". It matches the Rfam family "Bacterial small subunit ribosomal RNA", at positions 355 to 774 of the family's 1533-position model. The record is from RNAcentral. Lineage: Bacteria; Bacillati; Bacillota; Clostridia; Lachnospirales; Lachnospiraceae.
UGGGGAAUAUUGCACAAUGGAGGGAACUCUGAUGCAGCGACGCCGCGUGAGUGAAGAAGUAAUUCGUUAUGUAAAGCUCUAUAAGCAGGGAAGAAAGUGACGGUACCUGAAAAAGAAGCUCCGGCUAAAUACGUGCCAGCAGCCGCGGUAAUACGUAUGGAGCAAGCGUUAUCCGGAUUUACUGGGUGUAAAGGGAGAGUAGGUGGCAGAGCAAGUCCGAAGUGAAAACCCAAAGCUCAACUAUGGGAAUGCUUUAGAAACUGCUCAGCUAGAGUGCAGGAGAGGCAAGUGGAAUUCUUAGUGUAGCGGUGAAAUGCGUAGAUAUUAGGAGGAACACCAGUGGCGAAGGCGGCUUGCUGGACUGUAACUGACACUGAGGCUCGAAAGCGUGGGGAGCAAACA